AUUGAACGCUGGCGGCAUGCCUUACACAUGCAAGUCGAACGGUAACAGGUUAAGCUGACGAGUGGCGAACGGGUGAGUAAUAUAUCGGAACGUGCCCAGUCGUGGGGGAUAACGUAGCGAAAGCUACGCUAAUACCGCAUACGAUCUACGGAUGAGAGCGGGGGAUCGCAAGACCUCGCGCGAUUGGAGCGGCCGAUAUCAGAUUAGGUUGUUGGGGAGGUAAAAGCUCACCAAGCCUGCGAUCUGUAGCUGGUCUGAGAGGACGACCAGCCACACUGGAACUGGGACACGGUCCAGACUCCUACGGGAGGCAGCAGUGGGGAAUUUUGGACAAUGGACGCAAGUCUGAUCCAGCAAUGCCGCGUGCAGGACGAAGGCCUUCGGGUUGUAAACUGCUUUUGUACGGAACGAAACGGUGAGCUCUAAUACAGUUUGCUAAUGACGGUACCGUAAGAAUAAGCACCGGCUAACUACGUGCCAGCCGCCGCCGUAA
RNAcentral lists this ribosomal RNA (493 nucleotides) under uncultured bacterium. Its description in RNAcentral is "partial 16S ribosomal RNA". It matches the Rfam family "Bacterial small subunit ribosomal RNA", at positions 30 to 523 of the family's 1533-position model. The record is from RNAcentral.